UGAGCGGUCCGGACAGCCGCGCGCCGAAGCCUUUGGCGGAGGCGCGAGGAAAGUCCGGGCUCCAUAGAGCAGGAGGGUUGCUAACGGCAACCGAGGGCGACCUCAGGGAAAGUGGCACAGAAAACAAACCGCCCCAGAGUAUCGGGGUAAGGGUGAAAAGGUGCGGCAAGAGCGCACCGCGAGCCCUGGCGACAGGGCCGGCAGGCUAAACCCCCUCCGGAGCAAGGCCAAAUAGGAGUCCAGGCGCUGCUCGCGCCGCCAGAAGUCAAAGACUCGGGUAGGCUGCUUGAGCCUGCCGGCAACGGCAGGCCUAGACGAAUGGCUGUC
RNAcentral lists this RNase P RNA (327 nucleotides) under Planctomycetota bacterium. RNAcentral's name for it is "partial RNase P RNA component class A". It matches the Rfam family "Bacterial RNase P class A", at positions 1 to 320 of the family's 367-position model. Rfam says of the family: Ribonuclease P (RNase P) is a ubiquitous endoribonuclease, found in archaea, bacteria and eukarya as well as chloroplasts and mitochondria. Its best characterised activity is the generation of mature 5'-ends of tRNAs by cleaving the 5'-leader elements of precursor-tRNAs. The record is from RNAcentral. Lineage: Bacteria; Pseudomonadati; Planctomycetota.